AAUGCUUACAAAAAUAUUUUCAGAUCUGAGACCGAUGCUGGACAGAGCUGUAGGGACAUCCUCCAACUUUAUAGCGAUGCUCUAACAAAAACUUGGUACAGUGGCGUACUUACAGGGGCUAAUUGUCAGGCAAAGUGUGUGGUGACUUUGAAAAAGACUGCAGUGCCAUGCCCGCUCACCCGCCCUCCACCAAGUCAAAAUAACACAAUCCACACUUUGAAAACUAUCCUGUUAUCACGGAGACCUCCAAUUCUAUCAGUUGACCAUUAAAGAAUGUCUAUCAAGCAUCCAGAAAAACAAUGAUUUGGUCAUUGCCCUCAAAGAACUGACCUAGACAGAGCCUAAUAGAAAAUACCAAGUAUUUUCUCCCUUACCUGGUUUCAUUUAAUUCCUACAACGCUGAGGUAGGUAUGGUCAUUAUCCCCUUCCUACAGGGGAAGAAACUAAGGCUCAGGGAGUAAAUAUUUUGCUACAAGUCACAGAACCAGUAAGUGGCAGAGCCAGGGCUUGAACCCUGGAGUCUAAAUCCUUGGGUACUGAUGGGCACCAUUUAGACCAGGAAGCCCAAACCUUAAGCUUGCUGUUCCAGUUUUUCUUACCAAAGGAAGGGUCCCCCAUUUCACUAAUACCAUUGACUUUUGAUUUCUCCGCUGAUCCAGGAUGAAGAGCCUGGUACCUUAUGCCACAAUGAGGCUUUUAGAAGUGCUGCUGCGCAGUUUGGCAGAGGGACCAGCGCCCCGUGCCUGCGCUUGGGAGCCAGGCUGACCCCUGGGUCUGCGAGCCAAACCUGCCCCAGUUCGCUCAGCACUUCCAACCGGUACCCCUCAGCUGCCAGGCCAGAAACCCACGAAGGGGCUCCAGCAGUCAGGGCCUGGGGAAGCAUCCCGACAGACGGAGGCGUGCGGGCCUGUCCGCUUGCUGCCCGGCCGCCCAGCCUGCUGCCCAGCCCCGGCCUCUCGGGUGGACGGGGCUCCAGCACCAACACCGCUUGGCCGGCCCCGCGCAGCCCCGAGCCCCCGCCUCUGGCUGCCGGCCCGCUCGCGGUGCUCACUGCGCGCUCUGGACCGGGCCCGCCUCUCGGCGGUUUUCGCUUUCGCUUUCCUGCCGAUAUAGUUGAGGAAAAUGAAAGUGGCCGUGGCCAGGACUGGCGAAGCUGCCGUCGGGGCGAGGGGCGCAGAGUGCGGCCGCGGCGGGUCUGGAGCCUGGAGCCUGGAGCCUGGAGCCUGGAACCCCGGCCGCAGCCAGCGCCGGGCGAGGUGGCAGCACGGCCUGGACUUCUCUGA
Molecule: long non-coding RNA, 1283 nt
Filed under: Rhinolophus ferrumequinum (greater horseshoe bat)
Lineage: Eukaryota; Metazoa; Chordata; Mammalia; Chiroptera; Rhinolophidae
Description: lncRNA (ENSRFEG00010016942.1)
Source: RNAcentral